RNAcentral lists this long non-coding RNA (5774 nucleotides) under Sus scrofa (pig). RNAcentral describes it as "lncRNA (ENSSSCG00060026617.1)". The record is from RNAcentral. Lineage: Eukaryota; Metazoa; Chordata; Mammalia; Artiodactyla; Suidae.
UUUUUUUUUUUCUUUUUUUUUUUUUUUACUUCAUUCCGGUCAUAGGGCUAAUAAGCGGCAGUGGCCAGAGUGUAUCUUUAUCUGUCAGGCUCUGAAGUAGAAAUUGCCAACCUCUUUACCGUGCUGCUCUUUAAACUCAGGGAGAAGGGAUUUAAGUUCGUGCUAUGAGGCGGAAGAGCAGGGUCAGGGAAGGGCCAGUAUCUGUGUCCUAUAUACCUCCCAGGGAAGGGAGCAUACGAUGAAAGCUGGCUGUGAAGAUGGAGCCUUUAUGGUAGGGGUGGAGGUGUGUGUGCAUGUGUGUGCGUGAGAGCGUGUGUGUUUGUAACAGCAAUGGGCCUGCUCAUGUGGGCCAGGCACUCAGGUAUUUCGCCUAGCCUUGGAUCUUCGAAGACGAAGCAAGCUAAACUUCACCCACAUUUCUCAAAUUCUUGGCCCUUGAUUCAUGGAGUUUCGAGACUGUCACUCUAAAGUCAUGAGUUUGCCCAUGUGCACCUGUAAAUGCACACACACUCUCACACAGGCUCACAAACCAAGACUUGUCACUGUAAACUGUUUGGUUCCAGGAAGGGUGAAUGCAUAAGCCUUAAGGAGAUACAGGCGUCAGUGGGCCCUGUCUGAUCUUCUCGGCACCUCACCUUAGGAUAGAAAUUUCCUUCUAAGGUUUUCCUUUUAAAUGCUAAGCCAAGGGGCAAGUUAAACAUGGAGAUACCACGACUGCCACUGAUCCACAGCUUUUACGCAACAUCUUCUAUAAAACAGAAACAGAAGUCAGGGAAGAAUGAUCUUCUUAUACAUCAACUCUCUAUGUAGAAAGAGAUAUAAGGACAGGAUACAGACAUAUGCAUCCCCUUAUAUAUUGUUAUAUAUAUCCUUAUAUAGUACUUAGAAUACAUAUGACCUUCUUAUAUGUCAUGUCUCUGAAAUUUCGAGGUAUUUUCUAUGACUAUUAACUUUGUUCUACCAGUAUGACUGACAGAAAUGUCUUUUCAGAUUUUCUGAAAAAAAAUUUUGGAAGCUGGUCCAUGUUGCAUUUAUAGGUGAGCUAUAAUAAAUCUUUGCAUUCUAGGAUAGAAGAGUUUUUGUUCACUGUCUCGUGGUAGCUAUUUGGGGGCUAAAUCCUCCCGGACCAUCACUUUUUCUACUGCAAGACCUUGUUCUAACCAUCCUCAGGUGUCCAUAGCAUGCCUGGCAUCUCCAGGGCUCACUCUUCUACUGGAUAUAGUUUCUGCUGUGAAGAAGCACUUGUCUAUCACUUCUGUUACCUUGACUUUACUUUCAGCCCUGAAAGGCAACAAAAUAUGUGAAGAGAUUAUAUUCCCAACUUCAUACCACAAGCUUUUUUUUUUUUUUGCCUUUUAGGGCAUAUGGAAAUUCCCAGGCUGGGGGUUGAAUUGGAGCUACAGCUGUCAGCCUAUACCAUAGCCAUAGCAACGUGGGAUCUGAGCUGCAUCUGCAACCUACACCAUGGCUCACAGCAACAGUGGAUGCUUAACCCACUGAGCGAGGCCAGGGAUCGAACCUGUGUCCUCAUGGACACUAGUUGGGUUCAUUAUCACUGAGCCACAAAGGGAACUCCUAGAAUAUAUAUAUAUAUAUAUUUUGUCUUUUUUGUCUUUUGUUGUUGUUGCUAUUUCUUGGGCCGCUCCCGUGGCAUAUGGAGGUUCCCAGAGUGCAGCCCUAGAAAAAGGCAAACAAACAAACAAACAAAAGAAUUGGCCGAGGAAAGCUGUAAAGCCAAAAUAUUAUUUUGUGGUAUAAUAUUCUGUGUUAACCAGUUGUUCUGUGACUUUAGUGAUCCACUCAGUGCUUGGUGGAAAGCUGAUACUUAGUGCCCUACAACGGUAAAUCCAGACAGGGGUCCACACAAGUCCUGAUGUCAAGGUCUCAGUCAAUACCAAUACUAAGACUAGCAAGCCCCUUCACUGAAGCCCUUCGUGUUAAUAAAAGCUACCUUGUGAUGAAUACUUAAUCUAUCCUGGACUCCAUGCUAAGCACCUUUUGGCGUAUACAUAAAUUCAUAUUAUCCUUUCACUAGCCCUCUGACCUGGGGAUCACCAAUCUCCUUACUGUGAAAACUCCACGCUUAAGAGACGUUAGGAGGCCUGCCCAGGUCACACAGUCAGGGAGUCCCGGAGCAGGAACUAAAAUCCAGCCCUGAGGCUCUGCUAGCCCUUUGUACACACCCAUCUGUAACACAGCCUGCUUUCCACAAGUCCACGGUCAGAGCACAAGGAAACUUCGGGGCAAUCAUCUCAUGAGUCCUCAACUCCAUUACUCUCCCCAAGUUCACCAGCUUCCUGCUCUUCUCCUGGCCAAGUAAAAGUCAACUGAACACUCUCUUAUAGAUAAUCUGAUAAGUAUUUAGUGAACAAAGAGGAAGAGUGAUACAUUUGCCAAAAAUUCUUUAGGUAGGUGUUUAUAAGAACAUGCAUCCUGGAAACAGGAAAGAAGCCCAAUGAAGCUAAUGUGUUUUGCAUAAAUAUCAUUAUUCUUGCACCUUGGAGCAAAUCAAAUAUUGGUUUAUACAUUGCUUAAAGAGCCUUAGGGGAGAAAUUAGCAUGAAAACCAUUUGCUUCCUAAAUACAAAGCUUAACUCACAAAAUAGGGCUGAAAUAAAGAUGGCAGAGUGAAGUAAAUCAGAGAGUGAAUAUCUCCGAGAUGGCUUAAGAGAAACAAAGGAAACCCAGAAUCCAGAAACCUGGUUGGGUGGGGUGCCCUGAAGCCUGACGCUUUGCUCUUCACUUUGCUGGCUUGCCCUGCAAUGAGAUAUUAUUAAACUAGGCAGGGGCAAACUGUGAUCUGGGUAGGCUGCCUACAGAGCCAACACGUGUUACCAGGAAGAAAAAGGAACGCACGCUGGACUUAAAAGCAACUGGGCGAGUCUGAAGUGCUGAUCAUUCUCAAGGAUGGGCCCUUUGGCAAUCGCAAAACUCGAUCCUGCCCCCAGGACCCAAUGUGAAACAAUACAAGAAGAACAGUUGCCUCGCUGGUACCCCCUGGCAGAUGAAUAACCGCUCACUGUCUUGAGGGAUGGUCGGUUGUGCUGGGCUUGUACCAGAACAAGCAGCCCAAAGCUAAGAAGGCCUUGAGUCCUAACACUUUCCUGUAUAGCCCACAGGUUUGGGUCAGGUAAGGGGGUGGAGACGGAAGUUGGGUUGGGCGUCAGAAUCCUGGCCAAAGUCGGGGAGGACUCUAGGCCUUGAAAAUCCCUUUGACCUUGCAUUGCCUUGUCCUUUACACCAGAACCUCACACCAUUAGGGGCUGGCAUUGUUAUUCUCACCCUAUAUCCAAGCGUGAGGAAAGACAUGUAAGAUAAAGGGAUAGAAUUUUUCAGCUCCUGCUCAAAUCCAUCGUCUACCAGGGAGCAAAUGUAGCCCGCUGAGCACAAGGUUGGCAAAGAGAGGCAGAUUAAGAACUGAUGCUCUAUAUCCAUCUCUAACAACCCUGGGAAGAAUUCCCAAACAGCAUCAUUUAUAAAAGAACCAGCAAAUGACCUUUUCCUGACAUAGCCCACAGCUUGUCACAAAAUCCAUAUGUGCCAGUCCAAAAAUCACUUUAAUUUUAUAUGUUUUAUACGCUUUCUUCCUUAAUGAUGCUAUUUGGAUAAUUUAGAUUUUAGAGAUAUGAUGAGUGCUUUAAACACUCUACAAUAGCUUUAUAUGUACGUUUCUGUGGCUGCUGUUAUCAACAGUGCUGUGUUAAUCUUUAUGGCUUUAAAAACAUCUUUACUCUACGAUGCUAUUGAUCAAUGUGUCCCAAGGAAGCAGUCUGAAUUAUACGGAGAAAAACCAGAAUGGAAUUUUAAAAACUUCAACACAUUUUUCUUAUGGAUUGUGAAGGAGAUAUAAAGUGGGUAUUCUGUAAGACUCUUUCAGAAAGAACUGAUCUUCAAUUAGUCAGAAAACAGCAGAAAAUAAGGUUGCUUUCCUCAGAGUGCAAAGGAUCAACCAAGUAAGCAAAUUAAGCUCUCAUUAACCUUCGCGAGACGUUUACCCUAAAACUUAGUUUCUUCAUCCGUAAGAUGAGACUACUAGCUGUUGCUGCAUGAAGCUUAACCGUGUAAGUGCUCCUUAAAGGCUCAUCGGCAUCAUCACCGCUGUCAUCAAUACUGCCGUUUGUCAUCUCAAGCUCAUGUACAGAGAGGUAACACUGAAUCAAGGAGGACGGGAGUGGUGUGCUACAGCAGGUCAGCUGGCUGGAGGUUAGGAAAUGAAGCAAGGCCCCUGUUCCGCAGGCUGACUGAUAGAUCUCGUACCCCAUACAGUUCCUCCAGUCUCAGAGAGGUGUUCUGUAAACACGGAGCUCCAGCCAUGGGAGGGUCUGGGUAAGGGCAUGGUCUGCCUGCCAAACUCUCAGCCCCCUUCCUGAAACACACGUGUCUCUCAGGUGGUACACUGCCUGGCACUAGAAAGCCAGCUCAGGGACUGACCUGGGCCCUCUAGUGACCCUCUGCCCAUACCUUGGGGUGAAGAAAGUCUUAAGGACCAUAUUUUCGCUGGGUGAAAUGGAACUUACUCUAAAAGACGCAACUUAUAAAUGGGCAUCCAAGUUCCAUGCAACUCUGCUUAUGACGACGCUGUGAUCCAAGUUAUUCCCCUGAAGAAAAGCCUUAGUCCUUUCAUCGGAGAUGCACUUUCUUCGUUCACACCAUUCACCUACCAUUUGACUGUUUUCUCUUUGUGUACUGUAGCGAGCUAACGGUUGGCCUGCGGACUUGUGGUGACGAAGAAAUAGUGUCAAGGACUUACCUGGGGGGACAGGAGACACUUCAAGACACUCUACCCUCAACAGAGGCUGUGGGGUAUCCGCCCUGAGAAUCACUGGUCCCUCUAAUGCCGAGGACCACAGGCAGCUCCUUAUGAAUGCUCUGGGCCUACACCUGCACCCCUCCAUUCUAUGAGGUCAAAUGAGGGUUGGGUAUUCUUACCAGGUAGGCCUUUUAACUUCUCCACUGGAACAUACAGGUGGGUGUGGCACCCACUUAUGGGGAAGUGACAGUUUUUCACAGGCAAGGCUUUGGUGGCCUAUGGGUUCAAACUGUGACUCACUGCAGUGGUCAGAUAAAGAUGAGCUGCAUAGAGCUUCCUGCCUCUGGGUGGGUGUUGAUGUGCAACCCCCCACAUGGACACCACUGGCUUCUUAACAGAUGGGUGUUGGUAUGAGAAGGACACAGCCUGGCUCAGCCAUUAAGCUAAUUAAUAAUGACGGCACCAAGAGCUUCAUCAUCCUUGAAUGAAAUGUUUAUGGACAUCCUUUGGAAAGGAUGAUAAAGCUUGUCCUUUGCAAGGCCAAUUUUUGGCAUAAAAAUAUUGAUCACACAGCUGGGGGAGCUGGAACUGGAGAGUGACUGCUGAAGGGGAAAGGAUAUUUUUUAAGAUGUGAAGUGAAAUUUGAGGCUUACACUCAUUUUGACAAGGAGGCUGCCUGAAACACCACAUCCUCAUCUCUCAAGUACAGCCCUGGUGAGGACCUUGUAAGGGUGCUGCCUAACGCCUCAGUUGUAGUAGAUGAAGGAUACACAGCGCCAUGUGAGUUAAGUCCCUCAUGGCUCACGAAAAGAAUCCUUUACAGAGACCAAAGCAUAGGAGGGCAAUUAAACAGGCAGGCACAUCAGCACCAAAAUCCCAUGUCUCUGAUAAUGUCACGCUGCUGGUGUUUUUAGCCAUAAACUUCUUUUGACAAAACCAGUCUUCUUUGCUAGAAGAAAAGCCACUGUAAUUCAGUGACGGCUUCAUGUAGGAGAGAAUCUUGAAAAUCACCACGUAAAGCAUAU